Molecule: long non-coding RNA, 2399 nt
Filed under: Medicago truncatula (barrel medic)
Lineage: Eukaryota; Viridiplantae; Streptophyta; Magnoliopsida; Fabales; Fabaceae
Description: long non-coding RNA (MTRU_LNC001889)
Source: RNAcentral
UUUUUUUUAGCUUCAAUUAAAUUAGCUUUUGGAAGUUGUAAGAACUCAUUAAUAAAUUUUUAAAUUAAUAUUAAUAUGUCUAAUCGAUAAGUCAAGUUUAUCUCUUUACAUCACUCAAUUGAUUUAUUGACCCUAAAUCACCCCUGUGAUAAAAAUAGGGUCUUAAAAAUAGGAGGAUUAAAAUUUCAAUUAAGUUAAAAUAAGGGGAUCAAAAGUGCAUUUAAACCAAAAUAUUAACAAUUAGAAAGCAACAAGAGUUGAAUUUUAGUAGAAUAUGGCAGCAAAGAAAAAGCUUAUGGAAUUGAAAUAGAGGCCUUUUAGUUCAAUAUAAGACAACAUUGACAACAACAACAACAAUAAUAAUAAUAAUAAUAAUAAUAAAGAUUCCGUGUUUUGUUCUUAAGCGCAUACAGAAUAGUGAGUUUGUCCGCUAAUUUGAUGGGUUUAAUGAGAGAGUUAAAGAUUUUUGGGUAAUUAUUUUAUCAAAUAAUUAGAUUUAAUUAAAAAUAUACCACAUAAUUUUAAGGCUUAAUUGGUCCAUUAGUCCCCUAAUUAAUUUUCAGUUUUUAUUUUGGUCAUAUGUCUCGUAAAGUCAACGUUUUGGUCCCUUAUGUUUGUUUCCGUUAUUCAAAUAAAUCAAUGGUUGUUAACUUUAACUUCAAAUGUCUAUGGUGGACGAACCUUAAAAGUGGUUCACCAUAGACUCUAUUAAUAUUUUUAAUUUAUACCGCCCGAUCUAAUUUUAAAAAAGAGGAUUGUUAGAUCAUGAAGAUCCACUUUAUCUUAUGGUGAACAAAAAACAUCUAAUUAAUUUUCCCUUUAUUCAUAUUCCUUCUUCUUCUUCAUAAUCCUCGUACAACUUCAUCAAUUAUACCCAGAAAAAAAACCCAGAUAAUCCAACACUUCUUCUUCGCUUCUCUCCAACCCCCACAUCAUUUGACCCUUUCUUUCAAGAAUAAUCAUACAUCAAUUAUACAAACUUGAACAACAACAACAUACUUGUUUAUUUUUUUCACCCAUUAUCAUUUGUAACCAACAUGUUACUCUCAGAAACCUUUCUCACACAUUGCUUUGAACGAAUCUCAGAAAUGAUGAAGUGUGUUAUAUACCUUUGGAUCUGAAAAUCGGUUCCUUUGAUUUCAUUGCGUUUGCCUUAGAAGCAAUUUUUCUCUUCCAAACUUUCGAUUUCACCUUCAAUUACUCUCCUUCUUCUACUUCUGAUCUCUCUCAACUUUUUCUCCCAAUUUCUAUUACCAUGAAGAAGAAGCUCGAUCCAUGUUUCCCUGCUGUGUGUUUUUUCUAUUUUUCUUUUUAAAGUUUUGAUCUUUUUGUUAUUUUAUGUUGUUCUAGAAUUAAAUUGAGCAAUUUGGUGAUUUUUGUUAUGUGGAUUUUCUUCUAAAAUUUUGUUGAUUUUGGUUUGAAAUGGGUUGAGUUUGGAUCUGAUAUUGAAGAUAUUAAAGAUUGGUUGUGGUGGAUUUGGAAGGAAUGAGUUCAUAGUUAUUUGUAGAGGUAGGGUGGACAAUGAUUAACAAUAUAUGGCAAAAUUUGAUUAAGGAGGACGGUGGUAAUACGAUGAAGAUGAAAGUGUUAUGGGUUUUCCUUUCUACGUUUUUCUCUUUGGUUAUAUAGAAGAAUGAGGGGAAAAAGAGGGGAAAAUGAAGUUGUUGGUGGUGGUUGAUGUUUCUGGGUAUGUUAAUGAAGAUGAUGGUGAUGGUGUUUAUGAAUGUGAUGAUGAAGAUGACGAAGAAGUUGAGGGAAUAAGAUGAAGAAAGAAAAAGUUAAUUAUAUGUUGUUCAUUUACCGGAAGAUAAAAUGGACAUUCAUGAUCCAACGAUCCUUUUUUUUAAAAAUAGAUCAAACGGUAUAAUUUAAAAAAAUUAAUAGAGUCUAUGCUGGACCACUAUUUAAAUGAAAACUGAAAAUUAAUUAGGGAAUCAAAAGACCAAUUAAGCUUAAUUUUAAAUUUCUAAUACGCAUGUAUCUUGUUAAUUCAACAUAAUAUAUAUGCAAUUUUUCAUUGUUACUUACCACAAAAUAUCAAAAUUGAUUGAAUUUGAAAUAAUAGAGGUUGAAUUAAAAUAUUCACAUGGAGAAUGACAUCAAAAACUAAAAAAAAACUUGUUAUCACAAUGUUGUGACUUUUGCAUGAUCCUACAUUGUACUUGUUCAUCACUAUAAGAGAACUCAUACAGCUGAGUUUGACAUCAUAUUUUUGCCCUAAAUAUUAAGAUAUUAGGUAUAUAAGUCAAAUUACUAUGUUGUUCAACAUUUCUCUUCCAUUCAAUUUAACCUCAGCAAACAUGCAUCUCAAAUAAAAAUCUUUGACAAUCUUCUAAAAAAAAACUUUUGAUAAUCAUGAAAGUUUAUUAUAGGUUUUUAUUUAUCUUUUAACCUUUUCU